RNAcentral lists this ribosomal RNA (216 nucleotides) under Glomeromycotina sp. Its description in RNAcentral is "partial small subunit ribosomal RNA". The stretch from base 40 to 216 matches the Rfam family "Eukaryotic small subunit ribosomal RNA", at positions 686 to 864 of the family's 1831-position model. Lineage: Eukaryota; Fungi; Glomeromycota. The record is from RNAcentral.
GGGUCAGCAGGUUGGUCGUGCCACCGGUACGUACUGGUCUCACUGAUUCCUCCUUCCUGAAGAACCGUAAUGCCAUUAAUUUGGUGUUGCGGGGAAACAGGACUGUUACUUUGAAAAAAUUAGAGUGUUUAAAGCAAGCUAACGCUUGAAUACGUUAGCAUGGAAUAAUGAAAUAGGACGAUCGAUCCUAUUUUGUUGGUUUCUAGGAUUGACGUA